RNAcentral lists this ribosomal RNA (363 nucleotides) under uncultured eukaryote. Its description in RNAcentral is "partial 18S ribosomal RNA". It matches the Rfam family "Eukaryotic small subunit ribosomal RNA", at positions 592 to 977 of the family's 1831-position model. The record is from RNAcentral.
CAGAAGCGUAUGCUAAAGUUGUUGCAGUUAAAAAGCUCGUAGUUAACUUUCGGACGGGGUUGACCGGGUCUUGGUACGAAUGUGCCUUGCUACUUGUGUCGACCUAGUCCUCCUCCGUUUUCAUUUAGGGAACGGUCAUUGACUGUAAAAAAAUUAGAGUGUUCAAGGCAGCUCAUGGAGCUGAAUAUAUCAGUAUGGGAUCACAAGAUAGGACGUCGCGUGCUAUUUUGUUGGUUUGUACACGUGCGUAAUGAUCGAAGGAAUCAGUUGGAGAUGUUCGUAUUUCGAAGCUAGAGGUGAAAUUCUUGGAUUUUUGAAAGACGAACUACUGCGAAGGCAUUCAUCAAGGAUGUUUUCACCAAA